Molecule: transfer RNA, 72 nt
Organism: Schizosaccharomyces japonicus yFS275
Lineage: Eukaryota; Fungi; Ascomycota; Schizosaccharomycetes; Schizosaccharomycetales; Schizosaccharomycetaceae
Rfam family: tRNA
About the family: Transfer RNA (tRNA) molecules are approximately 80 nucleotides in length.
Source: Rfam
GGCCGUUUGGUCUAGUGGUAUGAUACCAUCUUAGGGUGAUGGUGGUCGUGGGUUCGAUUCCCACAACAGCCC